RNAcentral lists this microRNA precursor (123 nucleotides) under Marmota monax (woodchuck). Lineage: Eukaryota; Metazoa; Chordata; Mammalia; Rodentia; Sciuridae. The record is from RNAcentral.
GCUCACCAAAACACUCUCUCUUUCUCUCUCUCUCUCUCUCUCUCUCUCUCUCUCUCACACACACACACAGAGAGAGAGAGAGAGAGAGAGAGAGAGAGAGAGAGAGAGAGAGAAACAGUGAAA